ACAUAUAUUAUAAAUAAAUACAUAGGUACCGUUUGGAAACUCUAAAUAGGUGCAUUAGAGAUGAAAAUGAAUCACCAGCGGUAAUAAAUACCGAAGUGUUGUUAACAAAUUUUAUGUUUAGCGGUACUGCCUCUCUAAAUCUGGUAUUCUGUUUUACAAUUUCGGGCUCGAUCAUUUCUAAUAACGAAAAGAAAUUUCGCGUGAAGUUUCCAAACGGAAAGUCUUCGUCCAAUUGCGAACCGUUAAUAAUACCGAAGUUUCGUGUUUGAAAACAAUUGUCUAUCCAUUUGGAACGCUUAUUCUCACGUUUUCUUUGUCGCGUUCACGAUAAUAUAGUACGCCGCAGAAAUACCGAGAAGUAAACUAGAAUGCGACAUACUUCCAGUUUCAACUAUACCGCACGGUGAAAAACGACUGCCGGUGUAGAGGCGCCUGUGAGGUGUGCACAGAAAAAUACGUGCGUUUAAAGCGCUCAACAAUCGCAUGCGCUUGUCGAAUGACGAAGAGCAAGUUGAAACGCAAGUGGAAUCGACAGUCGAAAACGAAAACGCACUAGUGUGUGGACAUACCUUACCACAGUCUCCACGGUGUGUUGGUAGUCGACCCGCGUCGGUUCUUCCAUGGAAUAUUUAUUCCGGAACCGCAUCACCGACAAACAUGAUAAUUGUUAACGAAAUAUUAUCGCGGCGGCACUAUAUAAAUUGAAUAAUA
Molecule: non-coding RNA, 711 nt
Organism: Cinara cedri
Lineage: Eukaryota; Metazoa; Arthropoda; Insecta; Hemiptera; Aphididae
Source: the annotation of a GenBank genome assembly